RNAcentral lists this long non-coding RNA (1408 nucleotides) under Theobroma cacao (cacao). Its description in RNAcentral is "long non-coding RNA (TCAC_LNC005830)". Lineage: Eukaryota; Viridiplantae; Streptophyta; Magnoliopsida; Malvales; Malvaceae. The record is from RNAcentral.
CCUCUUCAUAGGUGCCUAUGUCUUUUCCCUUGGCUCACCAAGGAGUUUGUAAUCCACUAUGAAAAAUACUGUGUAAGGAUCAAGUAUAAUCUUUACAACAAUACCUUUUCAUGAGAACAAGCAUAACCCACAGAAUACCUUUUCACAAGAGCAAGGAUAACCCCUUGCCUUUUCAAGGAUUAAGCGUAACCUCUUUCUUCUUAAAGGAUUAAGUGUAACUUCUUGCUUUCUCAAGGAUUAGGCUUAACUUUUCUUUCUUACAAGGUCAAAGCAAUGAUACCUUUAGAAGGUGGAUUUUGCUUAGUAAGUACAAUGGAGGAAGAGUUUGGAAAAGCUAAAAAUGAUUUCAAAAGAUAUGAGUGAUAGCACAAGGAAUUUGAAGUUCAAAAGUAGCUCACAAGCUUUUUUGAAGAAUAUGAAUGCCUUGCUCUAACUUGGUUUGUCACGACCCGGAACUCCCAUCGAGCCCGUGACAACCGCCGCGAAGCCUCGAUAGACAUUCUUCACCCCAAAUGCCGAUCGAAACCUCCCAAAGCUCUCAUAUCAGCUUUCGCACUUCCCUGUGAGUAAUAGUUAUCAAAUAUCAUAAUUCGAAGGAUUACGAGUCAUUUCCAAAUCAAAACAUAAAAUAUUGUUUUCUAGCUCACAGGGGCAUUUUCGUCAUUUUUCGUCGAAAAUCUCAAAACUUGCUAAAAAUAUAGUAGGUAAGUAGAAAAUAUAUAUUUAGUGAUUUAAAAACAAAUUAAGUAUCUAAAACGUUCAUUUGAAGUGAAAAUUUGACCAUUUGAAUAUAAUAGAAAUAUUCAAUAAAAUAAACUAUUUUCUUGUAAAAUAAUUUUUUAUAAAGCUAUCGGUAAAUAAUUCUUAUAGCAUAAAAGUUAAUUAUAUUUAUAUAUACUAUAAAGCAAACAACCAAAGCAUAAAAUUACUUUUACAGUGACACGUGGGCCCAUAUCUAACCAAAAUGCAUCGGAAGCUGAAAACCUACAGCUUUUGCCGAUUCAAGUCCAAAUGAAGGUCCUUGUCAAAGUCAGCUAACUAUGGAAUUCCCCGAGCUUGAAAUGUGAGGAAAUGAGGGUGGUGAGAUUAUAAAAUCCCAGUGAGUAAAUAGACACCAUCUAAACUAUCUAAAGGCGAGUAAAUGGAGACGAAUUAAAAUAUUCUUUUCCAAUAUAUGUUUCAUAACAUGAAUAUUCAAUUUACUCAAUUAAUCAACAUGGCUUAUAUAUCUCACAAAACUUGGCUCCUACUAAAAUCAUUCCCGGGGAUGCCUUGGCCUAGGCAUCUAACCGAGACCCCCAAGGCAGUUAAAUGUCUUUACAUCCAAAAUUCUAGCCAUGCCUUGGCGUUGGCUGAGUCUCACUCUCACGCGGUGGUCCACGUGAAGUGCACUCAAAUCUUUACCUCU